CUCAAUCCAGAUCCAUCCCUCCCUUCCCUGCGCACUGCUGUAGCACGGUGACUAGCCAUGGAGGCAUGGCGGAGCAAGGCUUCCCACUUAUUUGCAGUUUCUAUACGUUACAAGAUACAACAACACCGACUGGAGGAUGUCUUUCCCUGCCCUGAAGGAGGAGGAAGCAGAGGUGUUGAGUCCUAUGCAGGCAGAGGGAGUCCUAACCUAAUUCAAUUGUCAGCGCGCGUUCAGACUACACUUGAAGGGAAAAAACUAAGCUAGAAUAAGCAGAUAAAUGUGAAGAAACAGCAGGCAUAUAAGGAGACAUGAUGGAAAUGCAAGACAUCGAGAUAUUUGAGGAAAUGGCACAACACCAAUAAGAGGAUGGUAGGAGAGCCAGUGCUUGGCUGAAGUGGACAUCACAAGCAGCUGACUAGUUAAGAUGGAUGAAUGUACACUCAAGUCAACAUGUAGUUGAUUAACAUUCUUAACUGAUAUGACAGUGAUUAAUUAGUAGAUGGAGUGUCUCGUGUCUCUGCAGGGUGAUGUGUGACUGUGCUACUCCUCUCCAUGCAUCACUCAGCCUCCAGCACCUUGACCCAGCCAUCGUCAGUCACUCCCACACUUGAGAGGCAGCAGCACAUUAGCCAAGACUACCACUGUGGUCAGGCUCUGAACUCUUGGCUGUACAUCCAAGGAACCUUCAAACCACUCAGCUGAAGGUGAUGUAAUGUAAUACUGUAUAUUGCAAACUCAGCCUCAUGAACAACCAAGUUUGUGUGAAGGACCCUUUCAGCAUUUUAGGAACUGCCUUUCUUUGUAUGUAUUCAGGAGUAAAACUUUAAUCAAC
This is a long non-coding RNA of Portunus trituberculatus (swimming crab), 832 nucleotides long. RefSeq lists it as uncharacterized. The record is from RefSeq and is a predicted model, not a curated record. Lineage: Eukaryota; Metazoa; Arthropoda; Malacostraca; Decapoda; Portunidae. The transcript has 4 exons.